UUCGGAGCAGUGGCGGACGGGUGAGUAACGCGUGGGAAUAUGCCCUUUGGUACGGAACAACUGAGGGAAACUUCAGCUAAUACCGUAUGUGCCCUUCGGGGGAAAGAUUUAUCGCCAUUGGAGUAGCCCGCGUUGGAUUAGCUAGUUGGUGAGGUAAAGGCUCACCAAGGCUACGAUCCAUAGCUGGUCUGAGAGGAUGAUCAGCCACACUGGGACUGAGACACGGCCCAGACUCCUACGGGAGGCAGCAGUAGGGAAUCUUGCGCAAUGGGCGAAAGCCUGACGCAGCCAUGCCGCGUGAAUGAUGAAGGUCUUAGGAUUGUAAAAUUCUUUCACCGGGGAAGAUAAUGACGGUACCCGGAGAAGAAGCCCCGGCUA
This 378-nucleotide ribosomal RNA is filed under the name bacterium gwi29. RNAcentral describes it as "bacterial SSU rRNA". It matches the Rfam family "Bacterial small subunit ribosomal RNA", at positions 86 to 499 of the family's 1533-position model. The record is from RNAcentral.